AAACAUUCACUUCUAAUAGAAGACAUUGAGUCAUGAGACCACGAAAGGUAACCACUUCCAUUAAGUUUAGUACUAAUAGCACGAACAUGUCCUAAUCUAAAACAAAGUUUGCAGCACAUCCAUAUAUAAGCAAGGCAGCUACCCAACAUAGGCUAAAGUUAUAACAAAAACAACUUCACUACAAAGGUAACAUCUCAAAAAGGAGGUUAGUAAACACUUAUUAAUGAUUCAGUACUAAACAUCAAGGUUAAUCACACAACAUUGGCAAGUUUCAUACCAAAGCAUACUUUGUUGUAACAAAUAUACUCAGAGCAACCUUCUCGGAGUGUCAGUGCAUUUCAUAAAACAAUGCUAUGAAGGGGGACAUCCGUGAUACAACAUACAUGUUGGUCCUCAACUUUCACUUCUAGCGAUCUCCGAGUAUAUUGGAAUUCCAAAGAGCGGUCUUAGGGCGUCGUGCCCUGUCCAACACCAUGGUCCAGUGCCCAGACCCAAAACAUAGAGCAGGUUACAGUAAUACAUAGUCCAGAUGGUGUUGAGUAGAAAAAAACCACAAUAUAUUACUCCCUCCGUUCCUAAAUAUAAGUCUUUGUAGAGAUUCCACUAGAUGGACUACGUACGGAACAAAAUGAAUGAAUCUACACUUAAAAUGCAUCUAUAUACAUCCGUAUGUGGUUCAUGGUGAAAUCUCUACAAAGACUUAUAUUUAGGAACGGAGGAAGUACACGGGAAAGAACAUGACAUUCCUGUACAUAAGUGAACCCCUAACAAAGCAAUGCCCUAACAAAGCAAUGCCCUAGAUCAUCUUCACACCCAUGAGACUCCAGGUUGUAGCCUUAAAGAUAAGUGUAGACAAACCCUGUCAAUAAGUAUACGUGGGCUGCAAGAGUAGAGAACAUUUAUUGUAUACCUACACCAUUCUCUGUCAUAAAAGUAGGGAGACAGAGCACUAAACAAAGAAGAGUACAGGUUCUUUUCACCAACAGAUGAACUUUGCAAUUAACACUCAAAAUGGGAUGAAAGCAAUGGGAAAUUUUCUUCUAAGACUGUCCCAAAUCAUUAUGAAUCAUGGGCAUGGGUCCUGCACACACACAUGAUGCAUUUUUUAUUAUUACCAUGCACUACUGCCUACUCCUCUAUAUAUCAUUAAGAACAGGUCACUAAUUCCUUUGAUGGUUGACACUAAGAUAAAGUCACAUGUUCAAAUUCUAUUAACCUAAGGCAGUAAUUCAAACAGUCCGUAGAAGCCUUUCAAAGAAGGCCCCUAAAAAAUAAUCAGCCAGACUAUAUGUACUGAACAUAAGAACUUAUUCCAGAGAUAUGUUAGCGACACAUUAUGAAAGAUUAUACCUCCACAAAGCAGGGACGGCAGAUCGACGGAUGUCCAUCCCCACUUCCUACAAUUACGCAAAAUAAAAUCUAAGGUGAGAACAUCACUGAAUUAUAAUUGGAAACUAAAUUUUGCUCUGAACCAUAACAUGCACUUGACAAAGUGAAAUAUCCAGAAAUGGAGUUAUUAUAUGAACCACAGCAUGCACUUGACAAAGUAAAGAAUGUGAACUGGAGUUAAACUGAUAUAAUCAUACAGUGGUAUUUUCCUGAAAAUCAAAUCAUAAAAAGAGAGAAAAGAAAC
Molecule: long non-coding RNA, 1633 nt
Filed under: Triticum aestivum (bread wheat)
Lineage: Eukaryota; Viridiplantae; Streptophyta; Magnoliopsida; Poales; Poaceae
Description: long non-coding RNA (TAES_LNC004116)
Source: RNAcentral